Hydra vulgaris (swiftwater hydra) is the source of this 908-nucleotide long non-coding RNA. RefSeq lists it as uncharacterized. The record is from RefSeq and is a predicted model, not a curated record. NCBI's taxonomy places the organism in Eukaryota, Metazoa, Cnidaria, Hydrozoa, Anthoathecata, Hydridae.
UAUUGCCAAUAAAGAUAUCGCUUGUGUUGUGACUUGCAAAAAGUUUAAAGAAAUAUGUUUAUAUUCGGAUAGUAAAGAUGAUGGAGCAACUCACUCAGGUUAUACCAAGCAACACGAGGUCAAGGGCGGAGGGGGAGGACCAUACACCUCUUCCCCCCACCUCUCCCUUCACCUUUAUGUCAACCAAUGCACCACUGGUAAAUGUUGUAAUCAAGUAAAAUACAAAUUUAAUUUGUUAUAAAAGUUUUGAUAAAAAGUGAAUAUAAAGAUAAAAAUAUGAAUAUAAAAAUAAAACUUUGAUUUUAGUUUAAAGAAAUAUGUAUUUUUGGAUAUUUAAAAUGGUGGAGCAGCUCCCACUCUGGUUAUACCAAGCGACAUGAGUUUUAGCGUGACGUAAGGACGACAAAAUAUCAAACGAUCAAAAACUUUAACUAUUUGUCAGAAGAAAGAACAUUUUGCCGCUGAAUUCAACUCCGCUGAAAAGAUUGAUCGGGAGGCAGCAGCCGUCUAUUGCGAAAGAAAAGUGGAAGCAAGAAGAUUUACGCCGUUUAUCAACACUGGUUUUAGAUUGACAGUUAGACGUAGAUUUAAGGUUAUUUAAUUUUAUGAAUAUCGGGAAAUGAUCGCUUAUAUCUGCCAUAAAUAUACCGGUUUCGAAUGUCGUUUCUAAAUAAUUACUAAUUAAAAUAUUGUCUAUUGCUGUUGCCGAAGUUUUGUUACACACGUUAGUUUAUUAAUAGUUGACAAGACAUUAAAUUUAAAUAGCAUAUCAAAAAAAGAUUUUAUUUUUGGAAACUUAGAGUUAGAUAAAGCAUCAAGAUUUAUGUCACCAGUAAUAUAUAAUGUUUUAUUUUCUUUAUUUAUUUUCAUAAUCGUAUUUUUGAUAAAAGUUCCGAAGUUUUUUAUUU